Molecule: long non-coding RNA, 1070 nt
Filed under: Canis lupus dingo (dingo)
Lineage: Eukaryota; Metazoa; Chordata; Mammalia; Carnivora; Canidae
Description: lncRNA (ENSCAFG00020013800.1)
Source: RNAcentral
AUGAACAAUGCUGUCUUCAACUCCCUCAUGCCUGAGCUUCCACAAAGGCCUUCUUUGAAACCCAUGCAAGCAGAACAACCAAGGUGCUUCAUCAAUGGGGCUCAUGUACUGACAGGGCUCCGAACAGAAAGAAUUUGCUGCCUUGUGGUGCUGGCCAGGUGUGGAGUCAGGGAUUGUGAGGCAGCCUUCCUGGAGGACUGGAGGCUUCGAAGCUGGGGGAGGACGCCAUGUGACGUGAGUGACUCCACCCAGGACAACACCCUUUGGCUCCUGCUUAUAUGUCCCAAUGUUCACCGGACUCAGAUGCUUGAGUGUCUAGGAGAUACCUGUGCUUAUUCCCCUCCGAGCCUUGCGGUCCUCCCCAUCUCAGCACGACACCUCCAGAAACACAGGUGUCACCCGCAUGUUCUUUCAUGCCCUCAAACCUAAUAUAGUUGACAGUAACGGAAGUUGGAAGUUCCUCCUCCACACCAUGUGAUUCUUCACGGCCGUGUAGCCCCUAUGCCGUCUGGGUAGGGCCGCUCACUCCCAUACCUUCCCCGGUCCAAGCCAACAAGGGUAAUCUCAUCCCUCAUCCACGCCGUGUCUGGUAACGUCCAUCUAAGCUAACGAGGCUGCGGGCAAUGGACGUAUAGUGGGGGUAGGAAGCUAGCCCUGGCCCGUUCUCCCGGCAAUGGGCAUUUGUCCAGAGAUGGCUCAAUCAAUCCGAGAUCAGGAUUUUUAUUUUACAGUUGUUGGAACGAUGCCUGCCCCUCCCCCAGGCAAAUAGGACCAUCUUGCCACCCUGUAUAGGUCUUGCUCUUGAAGCCAAGAGGUAUGGACUUGCAUCCAGGUAUGGACUCAGCAUAAGGAUAAAGGGAUGCAGAAAGGGUGGGGGACAGACGGAGUGGGACUGAGAAGCAGAAGAAUACAUUUAGAGCCCUGAUCAAACCUUACUUGAAGCCCACAUCUGUCAUAGCUUUCACUUUAUAAGUCUGUAAAUCGUCCUUAUUUUCUGAAGAAAGUUGAUGGAGUUUUGUUUCCUGAAAUCGAAAGAACCAAACCAAUAAACGUAUCCACGCCACUAGCCA